GUAAUACGGAGGGUACAAGCGUUGUUCGGAAUUAUUGGGCGUAAAGAGCGUGUAGGCGGUUUGGUCAGUCAUAUGUGAAAGCCCUGGGCUCAACCCAGGAAGUGCAUUUGAUACUGCCAAUCUUGAGUAUGGGAGAGGAGAGUGGAAUUCCCAGUGUAGAGGUGAAAUUCGUAGAUAUUGGGAGGAACAUCCGUGGCGAAGGCGACUCUCUGGACCAAUACUGACGCUGAGACGCGAAAGCGUGGGGAGCAAACAGGAUUAGAUACCCUGGUAGUCCACGCCGUAAACGAUGAGAACUAGGUGUAGCGGGUAUUGACCCCUGCUGUGCCGGAGUUAACGCAUUAAGUUCUCCGCCUGGGGAGUACGGCCGCAAGGCUA
This 378-nucleotide ribosomal RNA is filed under the name uncultured delta proteobacterium. Its description in RNAcentral is "bacterial SSU rRNA". It matches the Rfam family "Bacterial small subunit ribosomal RNA", at positions 520 to 896 of the family's 1533-position model. The record is from RNAcentral. Lineage: Bacteria; Deltaproteobacteria.